This 497-nucleotide ribosomal RNA is filed under the name uncultured bacterium. RNAcentral describes it as "partial 16S ribosomal RNA". It matches the Rfam family "Bacterial small subunit ribosomal RNA", at positions 28 to 507 of the family's 1533-position model. The record is from RNAcentral.
GACGAACGCUGGCGGCGUGCCUAAUACAUGCAAGUUGAGCGCUGAAGGUUGGUACUUGUACCAACUGGAUGAGCAGCGAACGGGUGAGUAACGCGUGGGGAAUCUGCCUUUGAGCGGGGGACAACAUUUGGAAACGAAUGCUAAUACCGCAUAAAAACUUUAAACACAAGUUUUAAGUUUGAAAGAUGCAAUUGCAUCACUCAAAGAUGAUCCCGCGUUGUAUUAGCUAGUUGGUGAGGUAAAGGCUCACCAAGGCGAUGAUACAUAGCCGACCUGAGAGGGGGAGCGGCCACAUUGGGACUGAGACACGGCACAAACUCCUACGGGAGGCAGCAGGAGGGAAUCUUCGGCAAUGGACGAAAGUCUGACCGAGCAACGCCGCGGGAGUGAAGAAGGUUUUCGGAUCGUAAAACUCUGUUGGUAGAGAAGAACGUUGGUGAGAGUGGAAAGCUCAUCAAGUGACGGUAACUACCCAGAAAGGGACGGCUAACUACGUG